This 869-nucleotide long non-coding RNA is filed under the name Rosa chinensis. RNAcentral describes it as "sRNA RchiOBHm_Chr2g0134141". Lineage: Eukaryota; Viridiplantae; Streptophyta; Magnoliopsida; Rosales; Rosaceae. The record is from RNAcentral.
UUUUUGGUUCUGCAUUUCAUUUGCAUCAUGACACAUUGCACCCAAGAAAUUUACUUGUCAUUCUUUUAGACCGUCUGUUUAUCUUGGAGUUGGCUGCUACCCAGUUGUAUUUAAUCUUGACAAACUUGUUUGCUUUGCAGGCUCCAAACAAGGACAGCAGCUGCAGUGUCAGAAAAUGCCAUAGUUCUAAUUUUUAAAUCGAGGGUGAGUCCCCUGUUUAUUUCUUUUAGUUUCUUUGCACUGGUUGUGCUUUUCUUUUCUUUUUUCUUUUUUUGAAUUGGUACUUUGUCAACUGCCCCGGAAUUAAACAUUUAGUUCACAAAAUGCUUUUGAUUUGUUUGUGAACGUAACCAUACAAAGUACCAAAAGCUGGGGCUAACUUAACUCUUUUGUGCAGGUCUUUUGCCAUUCAGUAUAGGUGGAUCUAUAAUUUUCUUGUCAUUAAUUUAUGUGUGUUUACAUUUGGUAAAGUCCAGUUAUAUUAGUAUUGAGAUUCAUUGCCUUUUUAGUACCUUUUAAGCUCAGUCAUGUCGGUAUUUCUUUUUGGCCUUAGAUUACAAGUUGUGAAAUAUUUGGCUGCCAAAUAUGAAGAGCUAGGGUGUGAAGUGAAAUGGAUGGGCAAGCCUGAUAAGGUGAUCUAGUCACAUUGGUCUGGUUACCGUUGUUAACUUCACUUCAUGUGAACCUUUAGCUUAAUACAUAUUUCUCUUGCACUUGACUACCAAGAUGAAUUUUGAGCAAGGCUACUUUUUGCUUUGAAGCAAAGUUUGGUGUAGAAAUUUUGUAGAUUGUUGCUCAUAUGUUUCUAGGCUAUCCUUUGUAGGUUUUGGGGUUUUCUUUUGUGACAUAUGUUCAAUCAUGAAUUUGGA